Molecule: long non-coding RNA, 394 nt
Filed under: Homo sapiens (human)
Lineage: Eukaryota; Metazoa; Chordata; Mammalia; Primates; Hominidae
Description: HSALNT0237156
Source: RNAcentral
AGGCCGCCAGCGCGAAGAAGGCGGCCAUGAGUCCGUUGCAGGCCCGCCACAGCGCUGGCGCCAUGGCUCGGAGAACACGGCGCGGGGCGGAGCACCUGACAUACCUGGAUAUAAACAAUAUCCAAGGCUUCCGUGCUGCCAGCAGAGGGCGUGGGAUUCUUCCUGAGGAGCCUGAGUCUCAGCUUUGCCAGGUCCUUGCUGUGUGACCUUGGGGUGUGGACAGGAUGAAGAGAAGGCAGUUAAGAGCUUUGAGGAAGCACCAGGACUGACAAUAACCAGGAGCCAAUCCCUACUACUUCUAGGCUCCAGGGGUGAGGAGAUGGAGCUGGAACUGGAAUCUGGAGAGGAUUGUUGGAGGAGAGGGCUGCCUGGCUGGGGCUGUGGCCUUGAGUGG